UACAGAGACGUCGAGCGUUGUUCGGAUUCAUUGGGCGUAAAGGGUGCGUAGGCGGUGAGGUAAGUCGGAUGUGAAAUCCCAAAGCUUAACUUUGGAAGUGCAUCCGAAACUGCCUUGCUAGAGGACUGGAAGGGAGACUGGAAUUCUCGGUGUAGCGGUGAAAUGCGUAGAUAUCGAGAGGAACACCUGUGGCGAAGGCGGGUCUCUGGACAGUUCCUGACGCUGAGGCACGAAAGCCAGGGGAGCAAACGGG
Molecule: ribosomal RNA, 253 nt
Filed under: uncultured bacterium
Lineage: Bacteria
Description: partial 16S ribosomal RNA
Rfam family: Bacterial small subunit ribosomal RNA
Source: RNAcentral